This is a long non-coding RNA of Bos taurus (domestic cattle), 2956 nucleotides long. The record is from Ensembl. Lineage: Eukaryota; Metazoa; Chordata; Mammalia; Artiodactyla; Bovidae.
GGAGUGAGGAUGAGGGGUGUGGAGCCAGUGGAGAAAGUGAAGUGUUGGAGUUAUGAUCCAUCAGCUUAUGGGGGUGGGAUGGUGUUGUGGCUAUUUCUGCAACUUUAAAGUCAAGUGAAGGAGUCUCAAGGGGUCAUUUGUAAAGGCAAGGGUCCUGAAGGAAGUGUGCUUGAUCACUGUGGUAUCUUCUAUUACUGCUGUAACACAUUGCUACAAAUUUAGUAACUUCAAGGGCUUCCCUGGUGACUCAGACGGCAAAGAAUCUGCCUGCAUUAAACAAUGCAAGUUUAUGAUUUUACAGCUUUGGAAGUCCAAUCAAUCUCAGACCCAUGUGAUUACCUUGGACCUACCUGCAUAACCCAAGAUAAUCUCACCGUCUCAGGAUCCUUCACUGAACUACAUCUGCAAAAUCAAAGAGAUCUACUGACCAUGUAAGGGCUGGGACUCCAAGGAGAGAAUGGAGAAUCCUGGAAAGACAUAGCAGAUAUCUUUUCUUGAGUGCCACUUGCAACACCCCAAGAAUGAACAUUUUCCCCUGAGCCCACACUUGUCUUAGUUAUGUAUGGUUAUCUGUAUAGAAAAUUGAGGGCAGGAGGAGAAGGUGGCAACAGAGGAUUAGAUAGUUGGAUGGCGUCAUCAACCUGAUGGACAUGAGUUUGAGCAAACUCCGAGAGAUGGUGAUGACAGGGAAGCCUGGCGUGCUGCAGUCCAUGGGGUCGCAAAGAGUCAGACAGGACUUAGGGACUGAACAACAACAGUCUUUGUGGUUGAAUAGUAUGGAGGCCCAUUUUAAGCUGAGUUAGAGGAAAGGAUUUUCAACAUAGCAGUACUCAAGUAAACUGCUUGAAUGGUUGUUUUUCUGGAGUGAACCACAACUCAGCCUCAAAUUUGCCUGGAAAGAGGCACCUGAAGAUGAUAUGUCAACAUCUAGCACCCUGACUCAUAUUCUAUUCCUGCAACUGUGUGCUCUAUGGGAGCAGGGCGGUUAGGAGGGCCAAUGACCACAGGUUCUCAUCCUAGUUUAUCACUACCAGAUAUGUGACUUUGACUGAGUUUCUGAAUCUUUUAUGCCAACAUACCUAACCCAGAGUAGGUUUCCAUUUCUUUCUUCAGUGGAUCUUUCCCUGGGUCGGGAAGAUCUCCUGGAGAAGGAAAUGGCAACCAACUCCAGUAUUCUUGCCUGGAUUCCAUGGAUAGAGAAACCUGGAGGGCGGGUUGCAGUCCAUGGGGUCGCAAAGAGUCAGACGUGACUAAGCACGAGCAUGCACACACACCCCUAACCCAAAUAAGCAAACACAAUCUUUCUUGGUAGAUUUUUGGCAUUCUUCAGUAUUUGCAAUGGUGGGGGCCCAUUACGUGAACUUUUGCAGCUCCACUAUUGAGUUUCAAGGAAGAGAAGUCUCCGGCUGAGUCCUGCUACACAUAGAUGUCUAUUAGCAAGUAGGUACAGGACAUGUAUCGUCCCUAUUCAGUAAGUUUGGUGGAAGCUCGGCUAUUGAUUCCCUAUAGCACCCCUUGCAUAAAAGUCACCUCUGAGGCCAGUGCAGCUAUAUUUCAGUGGCAGGAUUCUGUGAGCUGUUUUGUUGGAGUCAGGCAACCAACAAAACCCUGGAAUCAGCAGGUACACUCAGGACCUUUUACAAAUGCUGAUCAGCCUUGGGGGUCAUUGAUAAGGGUUAAGUUUCUUAUGUACCACUGAUGCCAGUGGCUCUUGAAAUUAUAUUUUUCAUCUAUGUAUGUUGAACAAGCUAUUAAUUUGACCAAUGAAAACUCAUGUUUAAUAUCCAUUAGGCUAAUGAAAAAGCUUCAAGUGCUGGUGAGAGAUAAAAACAGCUGAGGAGCUUAUAGCAGCUCCCUCUGGAGUGGGGCCUUCUGAUUAGAUGCCAGCAAACCACCCAUGGAGUGUAUAUUCCUGAUUAGGGCAUGACUGUCAUGAGGGUGUAGGCCAAACGAACUAAUAUGCAUAUUUAUAGCACAUUGUUUAUGUUGAAAUAUUUUAAAGCAAGCUACAGAUGACAUGAGACCUCUCACACCCUGGCUUCCUCUUCUGUAAAAUGAGGGUAAUGACACCUACCUCACACGGUUGUCACCAGACUAAUAAACUAAGAGAAAGCUUAGUAUGUGGUUUAGUCAUUCAGUUGUGUCCAACUCUUGCAGCCCCAUGGACUGUACCCCUCAAGGUUCCUGUGUCCAUGGGAUUUUCCAGGAAAGAAUACUGAAGUGGGUAGCCAUUUCCUUCUCCAGGGGAUCUUCCUGACCCAGGGAUCGAACCCCCAUCUCCUGUGUUACAGACGAUCUCCUGCAUUGCAGGCAGAUUUCUUUACCAACUGAGCCACCAGGGAAGCUCAAAGCUUAGUAUAUUGCCUGGUAAAUACUAGCGGCUCAGAAGGUGUUAGCUGAUAUUGUUAUUUCUUGCCUAGAUACACUUAAGCAAACUUUUUUGAGAAAUUAUGUACCCUAUUGAACACUUCAAAGUUGACAUCUAAAACUUUUCAUUACAGACAUACGUAAUAGAAAAGGAUUUAAUUUCUGACAUGUAGCAAUUAUUACAAUUUUAAAUUAAAACUGAUAUAUCAAUCUUUUAAAUAUAUACAAUGAAAUCUAAAUACAAUGCUUGGGUGCCGGGUAUCCUGAUUUUAAAAACACACAAGCAAACUUUUCUUUCCUGUGAAAACUCUUCUGUGAUAAAGUAGGACAUUUUAUUUCUUUACUUUUUCUUCUUGAAUUUGCAUUUCCAUUUCACUUACCCUACAAAAUUUUCUUCUAAUGUAAUAUAUUGAAAGCCUCUUACUGAUUGGGCUGUUGAGUUUUUUGCAACAAAUGUAUGUAUGUAAAUAAAAGUUUUAUAAUUCAUUUUAUUUCCUGUUACCUUAAGCCUCCAAAUGUUAGAAAUAUUUAGUUUGGGUUACCAUCACAGUUAUUUUUUUUUUUUGUGAGGAGUUGAUCAGAAUGACAU